RNAcentral lists this unclassified non-coding RNA (335 nucleotides) under soil metagenome. RNAcentral describes it as "partial contains 5.8S ribosomal RNA, internal transcribed spacer 2, and large subunit ribosomal RNA". The stretch from base 1 to 120 matches the Rfam family "5.8S ribosomal RNA", at positions 35 to 154 of the family's 154-position model. The record is from RNAcentral.
GAUGAAGAACGCAGCGAAAUGCGAUAAGUAAUGUGAAUUGCAGAAUUCAGUGAAUCAUCGAAUCUUUGAACGCACAUUGCGCCCGCCAGUAUUCUGGCGGGCAUGCCUGUUCGAGCGUCAUUUCAACCAUCAAGCCCCCGGCUUGUGUUGGGGACCUGCGGCUGCCGCAGGCCCUGAAAACCAGUGGCGGGCUCGCUAGUCACUCCGAGCGUAGUAAUACAUCUCGCUCAGGGCGUGCUGCGGGUUCCGGCCGUUAAAAAGCCUUAUUUACCCAAGGUUGACCUCGGAUCAGGUAGGAAGACCCGCUGAACUAAAGCAUAUCAAUAAGCGGAGGA